RNAcentral lists this ribosomal RNA (132 nucleotides) under Saimiri boliviensis boliviensis (Bolivian squirrel monkey). Lineage: Eukaryota; Metazoa; Chordata; Mammalia; Primates; Cebidae. The record is from RNAcentral.
GAAUAUGAUCAUACCAUCCUGGAUGUGCCUGAUCUUGUCUGAUCCCAUAAGCUAAGCAAGGUUGAGGCUGGUUAGGAUUUGAAUGGGGGAAAAAAAAAAAGCAGAAAAAAGUGGCAUGGCUCUGCCCAUUCC